This 68-nucleotide transfer RNA is filed under the name Hypophthalmichthys molitrix (silver carp). RNAcentral's name for it is "tRNA-Pro". The stretch from base 4 to 64 matches the Rfam family "tRNA", at positions 5 to 66 of the family's 71-position model. Rfam says of the family: Transfer RNA (tRNA) molecules are approximately 80 nucleotides in length. Their secondary structure includes four short double-helical elements and three loops (D, anti-codon, and T loops). The record is from RNAcentral. Lineage: Eukaryota; Metazoa; Chordata; Actinopteri; Cypriniformes; Xenocyprididae.
AGAAGAUAGUUUAAUUUAGAAUUCUGGCUUUGGGAGCCAGGGGUGGGAGUUAAAAUCUCCCUUUCUGG